GAUGAACGCUAGCUACAGGCUUAACACAUGCAAGUCGCGGGGCAGCAUGGGGGUUGCUUGCAAUCCCCGAUGGCGACCGGCGCACGGGUGAGUAACGCGUAUCCAACCUGCCCUUCACCACGGGAUAACCCGGCGAAAGUCGGACUAAUACCGUAUGUUGUCCAUUGACGGCAUCCGAUCUGGACGAAAGGUUUGGCGGUGAAGGAUGGGGAUGCGUCCGAUUAGCUGGACGGCGGGGUGACGGCCCACCGUGGCGACGAUCGGUAGGGGUUCUGAGAGGAAGGUCCCCCACACUGGAACUGAGACACGGUCCAGACUCCUACGGGAGGCAGCAGUGAGGAAUAUUGAUCAAUGGGCGUAAGCCUGAACCAGCCAAGUAGCGUGCAGGAUGACGGCCCUAUGGGUUGUAAACUGCCGUUAUGCGGGGAUAAAGUGGCCCACGUGUGGGUUUUUGCAGGUACCGCAUGAAUAAGGACCGGCUAAUUCCGUG
Molecule: ribosomal RNA, 490 nt
Filed under: uncultured bacterium
Lineage: Bacteria
Description: partial 16S ribosomal RNA
Rfam family: Bacterial small subunit ribosomal RNA
Source: RNAcentral